ACUCUGGAACAAGCCUACUACAGCGGCUAUAAAGACACUAUUGAUUUUCUUCUGCGCAGUGGUGGGUGAGAAUACAGGGGCUGAAUUUUUGUUACAUGCAGACUCAACCUCACCUUCCUUAUCUUGUUUCUGUUUCACGUUUUUUUCCCCUGGUGUGCAGAUCUUUUCCCACGGCUAACGAUACACAAAAUAUCCCAAGGGCAACUUAACGCUAACCAAACCACGGCACGGAUCCACCUGGAGACCACCAUGGAGGAGGAGGAGGAGAUAAAGGCCGAAAAGGAGAAGGCUACAUUAACCGCUUUUGAAGACAUUAGAAACAUGCCGAUGGGCAACAAUGACCCAGAGCAGAGAUUGGAGCUGGUGUUCAGGCAGGCUCCGGAGUUGGUUUUCUGGGCCUGGCAUAGCAUGAGACAUUUUUUCUUCUUCUUUUUCAAGAUACUUGUCGGCAGCCUCAAGAAGAAUACAAAGGACAGGGUUAUGCCCAUCAUCAUGUUUAUGAAGUGGCUGAAAAUUCUGGCUCAAUUUGAGGCUCUACGAGGACAGAGGCCCACAGCAACCCGGAAUAAGUCGUCUGACCAUUCAGAAAAUGACAAGCAUUGGUAUCUCCUCAGACAGUUCAUCACUCCAUCACGGGAUAAGAAGAAACCAAAGACACAUUAAAACUGUAUUCUUUGUACGUCCUGUCACAUGGAUUUUGUGUCGUCAGCUCUUUUGAGUCCAUAUGCCAUGGAUCUGAGCUUUGUUUUGUUUACGGUGGCUUUAUUUUAACUAAGCUGGUGAAAAUGUUUCUGAGUUUUCAUGAAUUGUAUCAGUGAGUCUGCAGAGCGCAGACAUCCAACAAGGCUUAGAUGUUGUAGUAAUCAAUUCUUCUACAGUCAAAUUUACUGGAUUUGUGGUAUUACAUUAUAUGAAGCUAAUAACACUGACCCUAACCCCAACACAGGACCCUAACCCCAACACAGGAGUUAGCAUGGGACAGAAAAGUUCCAUGAGUAUAACCAGUGUUUACUCGGAAGGUGAAAAAUGUAAAAAAAAAAGAGAAAAGCCACGGGCUAACCAAAAUCAAUGUCUACGUGUUGGUGGUGUGAAUGAGGUCAUACUGAUGUUUUUAUAGUGAUGCUUGCUUGGGAAGAGAAAGCUUGGCCUGAUGUGACACUUGGUAAUUGCGGUCUCAGAAGUCAUUUAUUUGUAUUGCUCUGACGACUAGUCUUUACAUACCACCUCCCUGAUGAAUAGAAUUAUCAACACUGCUUAAUCUAUUAAAUAUCAGUGAAGUGUUUUAUAGCUUGCAGUGGGUUUUUCCCCCCUCAAAACAACAAUGUGUGAUACCACUGUGUGUAAGAGAUAUGUCAUGAAUUCUUCCAUUUUAGUUUUUUUAUAUUCCCAAAAUAAAAACACAUUUUGAGUAAAGUUGCAAACUUAGCUGCAGGGCACUUAUCUAGAGUCCUUCAUUUUAUUUACCAAUAAGAGGUGACAGCUAGUCCCGUGAUGAGCUAUUUGAACACUGCACCCUUUCACUACUUGUCCCCCAGUGAAGUAGUUGCUUCUCCCCCUUACACUGCUCCAAUGUUUAGCCUCAGUGGCUUCCGGCUGGGGCUAAUGGGCUAAAUUUCUGCAGAAAAUUCAAGGAAUUCUGACAAAUGAAUGAAUGAAUCAUUGUUUUGUUUUUUUACUUUGCACUGUCACAUUUGAUGUUUGAGGAGCAGAAAUAUUUGACUCCAUUUGGCUCGGGAUUAAGAUCAAAUUACUUAAUAGAUGAUGCUGCUCUUAUUUGUCAUGUACAGUGUCUUUUUAUUGUUGCUGUUGAUGGUUAUUAACCAGCUCAUGCUUUAUGCUAGGGCAAAAUGAUAGGAAUGAAUAAAUGCUAACUAACAAAACUUGGUUUUGAAU
Molecule: long non-coding RNA, 1893 nt
Organism: Scophthalmus maximus (turbot)
Lineage: Eukaryota; Metazoa; Chordata; Actinopteri; Pleuronectiformes; Scophthalmidae
Source: Ensembl